UACUUCUCAAAAACUGAAUCGACAUCUCAUUUAGAUCUAGUAAUCAUCAUGAAUUUCAUCAAUUUAAAUGUUUCGGACGUUCCUAAUUCCCAUCUCUUUCUCUUUGUUGUAACAAUGAUUCAUGUCCUUUAUAUUAUUUGGAUCAUUUAUUUGUAUUUACCCUUCAUAUCAUUCUCUUUCUCUCUGUAAUCUCAGGAUAUGAUUUCUGGGAUGGAAUUCAGUGAUUCCUUUGAGUAUCUCCACCAUUCCAAAGAGGUUAUGGUGCAAGCCACUGUUUUCGGAUUUAAGAAAACGCGAGACCAGACUGAUGCAUCAUGUCUAGAUAAGAGACCAGACUGAUGAAUCAUGUCUAGAUCAGAGACCAGAGACUGAUGAAUCAUGUCUAGAUCAGAGACCAUACUGAUGAAUAAUGUAUAGAUCACGGGAAAACCUGGGAGAGCCGGAGAGGUCAAGGUUCACGUUGGUUAUGUGGCUCAGAUCUCUUCUCUUUCUGAUUCUAUACACACAGAAGGUGUUAUUGUUGAGACUGAGACCAAGCUAUAUGACUCUAAAUUAAUUUGAGGUUAGGUCUUUGGAGAAACGUGUUACACUGUUCCCGGAAGAAAGAGCAAACAGAAGGGACUCAUCAUCAUCCUUCGAAGUGGCAACUCUGGAAGAAGCCACGAAACAAUCCUACAAAUAUGUUUAACCAUGAGAUCAAGAAAAGAUGUUUAUGUUUCUUAAUGUUUGGUUGCUCUUAUAGUGCAUGUAGAUUUUAACAGAGUAGGAGCUCCUUUUCUAGAGAUCGAAUCUUAACUUUAUAUGAGAAGUGGGAUUGGAUCCAUUGAAUACACCAGUGAGAUGCAAUGGAUUGUGAGAGAGCAAUGGGAAUAUCCAAGAAGGCCCUCUCCACUGCGAUGCUAACAUCUCAAUCCGUCCAAUUGUGCAAGCUAAGUUUGGCACCAAGGUGGAAAUUAAGAGUUUGAGUGCAUAUCAGUAAUUAACAAGCAC
This is a long non-coding RNA of Brassica napus (rape), 990 nucleotides long. RefSeq lists it as uncharacterized. The record is from RefSeq and is a predicted model, not a curated record. The transcript has 4 exons. NCBI's taxonomy places the organism in Eukaryota, Viridiplantae, Streptophyta, Magnoliopsida, Brassicales, Brassicaceae.